GAUGAACGCUGGCGGCGUGCCUCAAACAUGCAAGUCGAGCGAGGCUAUGAAUUACCGCAAGGUAAGGCAUAGCCUAGCGGCGAACGGGUGAGUAACACGUGGGUAACCUACCUGGAAGACAGGGAUAACGAUUCGAAAGGGUCGCUAAUACCUGAUAAUAUCCGUCUGCCGGAUGGCGGAGGGAAGAAAGGGGAAACCCGCUUUCAGAUGGGCCCGCGUCCCAUCAGCUAGUUGGUAAGGUAAAGGCUUACCAAGGCGACGACGGGUAGCCGGUCUGAGAGGAUGUACGGCCACACUGGGACUGAGAUACGGCCCAGACUCCUACGGGAGGCAGCAGUUGGGAAUCUUAGGCAAUGGACGAAAGUCUGACCUAGCGACGCCGCGUGAGGGAAGAAGGCCUUCGGUUGUAAACCUCUGUCAUGGGGAAGAAGGAAGUGACGGUACCCAACGAGGAAGCCCUGCUAACUACGUG
RNAcentral lists this ribosomal RNA (472 nucleotides) under uncultured bacterium. Its description in RNAcentral is "bacterial SSU rRNA". It matches the Rfam family "Bacterial small subunit ribosomal RNA", at positions 28 to 507 of the family's 1533-position model. The record is from RNAcentral.